This 791-nucleotide ribosomal RNA is filed under the name uncultured bacterium. RNAcentral's name for it is "bacterial SSU rRNA". It matches the Rfam family "Bacterial small subunit ribosomal RNA", at positions 110 to 916 of the family's 1533-position model. The record is from RNAcentral.
GUAACACGUGGGUAACCUGCCUCGUAGAGGGGAAUAGCCUUCCGAAAGGAAGAUUAAUACCGCAUAAGAUUGUAGUUUCGCAUGAAACAGCAAUUAAAGGAGUAAUCCGCUAUGAGAUGGACCCGCGUCGCAUUAGCUAGUUGGUGAGGUAACGGCUCACCAAGGCGACGAUGCGUAGCCGACCUGAGAGGGUGAUCGGCCACAUUGGAACUGAGACACGGUCCAGACUCCUACGGGAGGCAGCAGUGGGGAAUAUUGCACAAUGGGCGAAAGCCUGAUGCAGCAACGCCGCGUGAGUGAUGAAGGCCUUCUGGUUGUAAAGCUCUGUCUUUGGGGACGAUAAUGACGGUACCCAAGGAGGAAGCCACGGCUAACUACGUGCCAGCAGCCGCGGUAAUACGUAGGUGGCAACCGUCGUCCGGAUUUACUGGGCGUAAAGGAUGCGUAGGUGGAUAUUUAAGUCAGAUGUGAAAUACCCGAGCUCAACUUGGGUGCUGCAUUUGAAACUGGAUAUCUAGAGUGCAGGAGAGGUAAGUGGAAUUCCUAGUGUAGCGGUGAAAUGCGUAGAGAUUAGGAAGAACACCAGUGGCGAAGGCGACUUACUGGACUGUAACUGACACUGAGGCAUGAAAGCGUGGGGAGCAAGCAGGAUUAGAUACCCUGGUAGUCCACGCCGUAAACGAUGAGUACUAGGUGUAGGGGGUAUCGACUCCCUCUGUGCCGCAGUUAACACAAUAAGUACUCCGCCUGGGAAGUACGGUCGCAAGAUUAAAACUCAAAGGAAUUGACGG